AAGAGCGGAAGAUGGUUUUAAAAACCUGGCAUUCCUGAGAACAGGGCCACAGCGAGGAGAUCCCUGAGGGGCAUAUUACUGGAGGCUGGGGCUUGGGGCCAUGGUCUUCCAGGGGGAGCACUCCUGGGGGAC
This is a non-coding RNA of Ceratotherium simum simum (southern white rhinoceros), 132 nucleotides long. Lineage: Eukaryota; Metazoa; Chordata; Mammalia; Perissodactyla; Rhinocerotidae. The record is from RefSeq and is a predicted model, not a curated record.